This is a long non-coding RNA of Panicum virgatum (switchgrass), 882 nucleotides long. RefSeq lists it as uncharacterized. The transcript is spliced from 2 exons. Lineage: Eukaryota; Viridiplantae; Streptophyta; Magnoliopsida; Poales; Poaceae. The record is from RefSeq and is a predicted model, not a curated record.
UUUUGUGGGCUGGCCUGUCAUAUAUCCGUUGGACUAUGAUGUGCAAGCUAACUACCUUGUGCAAGAUAGAUAGGAGCGCCCAACUGGAGUACCCAACGAUCCCCCGACUCUUCUCGUUUCUUCCCCAAAAGGUGAGAGCAGGCGGAAGGAAGGUGACUAGCAUCCGGCACCGAUUUCUACCAUUCCCCUUCCAAUCCGACGGGCGGAUCGGCGCUAGAAAGGAUGGGGAACGGGAAUUGAGGUGGUCGUUGUACAUACUCUUACCUAGUUUGACUAGUUUAGAUCUAGGCAGUGUUUCUAGGGUGGAGGUGACAUUGCGACGACAGAAUAAUCUUCUUCAACUCCUUCGUCUUGCUGGUUCCACUACCAGUGAAGAGAUGAAGAGGUGUGUCCCUGCUGGAUUUGGAGAUCUCGAUGCUUCAGAUCUAGUUUGGUUGUAUUCUGCUCCCUCCUUGUCUCCGUCGGAGUUGCUGCCGGCGAUGGCUUUGGGAGAGAUCCUGGAGGCAACUUGGGCGCUAGAUUCCUUGUACUCCGGCGAUGUGGUGGCUUGUGGCCAUCUGAUUCGGCUUGGGCAUUCAUCGGUUACAAGGCGUGUCGAUGUUUUCGAUAUGUUGUACGAAGUGCCAACAAAAAAUUAUGGUCCAUCAUCGGGAAGGAGGUUGGCUUCAAGCUCCAGAUUCGACAUAUUUCUUCUUCAACCUUUGGUUUGACAGGGAUGCGUCGUGCGGCUGCUCCGACCAUCGGUGACGGGGACGACUGGGAGGAUGAUCUUGCACGAACUACGAUGUAAUUUUUACUUUCUUUAAGGGUGUCUUCGUAAGAUUUGGAGUGUAAACUUCAUGAAAUAUCUAUGAAUAUAAGCUCGGUUUCUCAAAAAAAAAA